GUCGUCUGUGAAAUUCCGGGGCUUAACUCCGGGCGUGCAGGCGAUACGGGCAUAACUUGAGUACUGUAGGGGAGACUGGAAUUCCUGGUGUAGCGGUGAAAUGCGCAGAUAUCAGGAGGAACACCGGUGGCGAAGGCGGGUCUCUGGGCAGUAACUGACGCUGAGGAGCGAAAGCAUGGGGAGCGAACAGGAUUAGAUACCCUGGUAGUCCAUGCCGUAAACGGUGGGCGCUAGGUGUGGGUUUCCUUCCACGGGAUCCGUGCCGUAGCUAACGCAUUAAGCGCCCCGCCUGGGGAGUACGGCCGCAAGGCUAAAACUCAAAGGAAUUGACGGGGGCCCGCACAAGCGGCGGAGCAUGUGGAUUAAUUCGAUGCAACGCGAAGAACCUUACCUGGGCUUGACAUAUACAGGAUCGCGCCAGAGAUGGUGUUUCCCUUGUGGCUUGUAUACAGGUGGUGCAUGGUUGUCGUCAGCUCGUGUCGUGAGAUGUUGGGUUAAGUCCCGCAACGAGCGCAACCCUUGUCUUAUGUUGCCAGCACGUUGUG
Molecule: ribosomal RNA, 545 nt
Filed under: Corynebacterium sp.
Lineage: Bacteria; Bacillati; Actinomycetota; Actinomycetes; Mycobacteriales; Corynebacteriaceae
Description: bacterial SSU rRNA
Rfam family: Bacterial small subunit ribosomal RNA
Source: RNAcentral